This 294-nucleotide ribosomal RNA is filed under the name uncultured bacterium. RNAcentral describes it as "partial 16S ribosomal RNA". It matches the Rfam family "Bacterial small subunit ribosomal RNA", at positions 790 to 1084 of the family's 1533-position model. The record is from RNAcentral.
GUAGUCCACGCCGUAAACGUUGGGCGCUAGGUGUGGGGGUCCUUCCACGGCCUCCGUGCCGCAGCUAACGCAUUAAGCGCCCCGCCUGGGGAGUACGGCCGCAAGGCUAAAACUCAAAGGAAUUGACGGGGGCCCGCACAAGCGGCGGAGCAUGUGGCUUAAUUCGAGGCAACGCGAAGAACCUUACCUAGGCUUGACAUGGGCAGAAAUCUGGUAGAGAUACCAGGUCCGCAAGGGCUGCUCACAGGUGGUGCAUGGUUGUCGUCAGCUCGUGUCGUGAGAUGUUGGGUUAAG